AAAGACUCUUGGGACUAGCAGUGGAAUCCUUGCUAUUGAUUGGCUGGUUAAAUAGAGGACUAUUAGCUUCAGACAGGCUAGAUUGAUUGUAAGGCAGCAGCAGGAGCUGAGACUCAGAGCUGAGUGAGCGUCAGGGUGAAAAGGAGAGAGAGAGGGGAACGCGAGGUGGAGAGGGAGGCAGUGCACGUUCGUUCCCUAGCAUCGCUCUGUGACUGCCGGUGCUGAAUAUCUUGCUCCGUAGCUGCCCCAGUCAACAACUUACUGAGGUGCCUUUUCUUUUACAAGAGGAUGUCUGCUUUGAGCCCCAGCAAGAAAUAGCAGACUUCACCUUGGAAUAGUUCGUCUCACUCCUGCGUCAUUAAAGAGGAUCUUGAAAAGGAAACAAAAAUCAAGUCUCCCUUCCAGCCCCACUUUGUUCCAGAAUUGAACAGAAACAGUUUUGUGCUCCAGAACCCAUUCACAGCAGUUUAUAAGAAGAAAAUAUAACACCAAACAUUCUUAAAGUGAAGCAUAAGAUCUGUUUCUGCUGAUGGAAUACUGGAAAUGUAAUUAAAUGUUUAGUUUAAUUACAAUGGAAAAUAAAGGCUUAUUCUCAGAAAUUCAGUGCAGCCCAAAGAAUAGCAAACGUGAGUGAUGAUGUUUCUCAAAAGCAGCCCCCCGGUACACAGUUGUAUAUUCUUCGUUGUGGGUCCUUCUAGUUGUGGCACGUGGGAUGCUGUCUCAGCGUGGUUUGAUGAGCAGUGCCAUGUCUCCGCCCAGGAUUUGAACCAACGAAACACUGGGCCGCCUGCAGAGGAGCGCGUGAACUUAACCACUCGGCCACGGGGCCAGCCCCCCAAUGUUAAUUUUUAAUCAAUAUUUGAGUUGUUGUUAUUUUAGAAAUUAUAGAUAUUCUCAUGGUUAAAAAUACCAACAGCUCAAAAUGUUUAAGAAAAGUUCUUCCUCCUAGCACCAUCCCCCAGAGGAAUUCCUAUUUUUAAUUCUACUGGUAGACAAUAUAAUUAUUUCUUAUACUCACAACUUAAAAAAAAAUCCAUUUAUGUGUCAACUCCCUACCAUUAAAAGAUAAGGAAUUUAAUACACUUAAACCAUCUAUUUCCUUCCAGCCCCUUCCGCUUACUGCCUUUAUUUCUUUUAGUCUAUGCUUCUAUGUCUUAAAAAAUUUAAAUUUCUCCUUUUUCACUUCCCAAUUCUAGUUGCUGUCUAUUGAUGCCUUGUCCUUUAUAAAGAUGAAGAAAUGUAUAUACUUACCCCCCUCCACCUUGCCUCUCCAAUUUUGUUAGUCAUGUUAUUAUUUUGUGUGUAUAAGUUCUUUGGUUUUACAUUGAUUUAGCAUCUAAUUAUUUUCCCAUGCUUUCUGAGUUUAUUAAAAUGACAAAUCAAUAAACAGUUCCAGUCCAUUUGUGAAAUCCUAUGUCUUUGAAAUUGUUGCUCAAAGAAAAAUCUUUCAAGUGUCAAGGUCUAAUGGUCAUUUUUCAAGCUUGUCUAAUCAUAAGAAUAAAUUAAUAGGAAGCUUUUAAAUAUUCAGAUUCCAGGCAUCUACACUAAGGAAUCUGAUUUGACUGGUCCAGGGAGGCUAAGAUUAGUCUUAUAAUCAGAAAAGAUGAACUUAAUGAUUCCUUUGUCUUUUGUCUGGAUCUGUUCUGUGACCAGUAUUUCUUGCUUUCUUUCGUCACUGUCUUUCUUUUAUUUA
This is a long non-coding RNA of Equus asinus (donkey), 1693 nucleotides long. The record is from Ensembl. Lineage: Eukaryota; Metazoa; Chordata; Mammalia; Perissodactyla; Equidae.